Molecule: RNA transcript, 1246 nt
Organism: Phyllostomus discolor (pale spear-nosed bat)
Lineage: Eukaryota; Metazoa; Chordata; Mammalia; Chiroptera; Phyllostomidae
Gene: SMIM15
Gene name: small integral membrane protein 15
Exons: 3
Source: RefSeq, a predicted model, not a curated record
CGGAAACUGGCCUCUCGACUUUCUCAAGCCGGAUUCAGACUGGGGCAGACCUGUGGGCGGGGCAGGAAAGCCCGGGCUUCCGCAUUCCUGCUUCCGGCCCGGUGCGUAUAGAAUAUAAACCUCUCAAAAGCAUAUAGUAAAGCUAAAGAAGAAGACAAUCAACCAAGGGUCAUCUAUCUGAAAUUGUAAUUGGCUCACUAAUAAUCCCAGGACAAAGUUAGAGAUCACAACUCAAGCCUAAGCCUCCCUUUCCUAAGACUGCCACAAAGAUGUUGGACAUAAAGGCUUGGGCUGAGUAUAUUGUGGAAUGGGCUGCAAAGGACCCAUACGGCUUCCUUACAACAGUUAUUUUGGCCCUUACUCCAUUGUUUCUAGCAAGUGCUGUCCUGUCCUGGAAAUUGGCCAAGAUGAUUGAGGCAAGGGAAAAGGAGCAAAAGAAAAAACAAAAACGUCAAGAGAAUAUUGCAAAAGCUAAACGAUUAAAAAAGGACUGAAGGAAUGAACAGGCUCUGCCACUGGAGAAAACUUACUUGGGAAAUUAUGCAGCUUGCAACGACCCUCUAAGGUUUCUUUUCUGGAUUUAUGACUAGUAAACGAAGUUUGAACAUAUGGAAGAUUCAUGUUAGUUCUGACCUCUGGUAUAGCAGCUUUUAAGCUUUGAUACAGAAGUCUGUUCACAGUUAUUGUAAAUUGGCAUUUAUUAUACUGCAAAUUCUUUAUGACUGACUUAGUCAUUUGCCAUUUUGCAGCUUAUCUCCUGAAAUGAAAACAUCCUGUGGGGGAAAAAAAUGACUUUAAAUUAUGAACUCUAUUCAAAUACUGGCUCAAAAUGGGGUCCUGUUCUGGAUGAAGGAAACUGAGAAUGUAAAAAUGAGAAUUGUCCUGAGGUGAAAAGUACGCUUUGGCUUAAAAGAGAUCCAGUAUAUUAAUUACAUCUUUUAUCCUUAUUGCUUGUUUCUUAGAAUCAUUCUGGCUUUCUCAAAGCAAAAUAUUAUUAAUCAAUGAGUACUUCAAUUUUAUGCAUUUUUCUCAUUUUUGCCUUUGAGAUACUGGUAAUUAUCAGAUAUCUUGCCUUUUUAAAAUCAAAUUUUAUAAAAAAUUAUCUUAUUAUUUUGUCUAUAUAGAAUACCACCUACUGGAUAUAACAAUUUUUGUACUUACAAACACUGCCAUUUACUUAGAGAUGAUUUGUUGAAUAGAGUAACACUAUGAUAUAAAGCUUGCAAUAAAAAUUCCAAACCUUGUA